AUAUAAUAUUAUUAUUAUCAUUACUAUUAUGAUAUCGACACACGAAUAUUAAUAUUCGAGUGCCAGCUAUAUAGGUACACAUUACACGUUCGUAAUACUGUAGGUACUAUUAUACGCGUUACCAGCCCGGCAAGGUCGUAAUAAUAUAACGUUCCGAUUUAAGCGACCGAAUAAUAAUUGCUUCACCCCUUUCACUAUUGUUUUCUACGCAGAGCCGCAUUAUAGGUACGCGAGCCGGCGAGUGAGCGAAGGACACGGACACGCGCGGCAGUGGCAGCACCCGCAGACUCGGA
Cinara cedri is the source of this 293-nucleotide non-coding RNA. The record is from the annotation of a GenBank genome assembly. NCBI's taxonomy places the organism in Eukaryota, Metazoa, Arthropoda, Insecta, Hemiptera, Aphididae.